Molecule: ribosomal RNA, 494 nt
Filed under: uncultured bacterium
Lineage: Bacteria
Description: partial 16S ribosomal RNA
Rfam family: Bacterial small subunit ribosomal RNA
Source: RNAcentral
GACGAACGCUGGCGGCGUGCUUAACACAUGCAAGUCGAACGGUGAAGCGCCUUCCUUUUUGGUGGGUGUGGAUGAGUGGCGAACGGGUGAGUAACACGUGAGUAACCUGCCCCCUUCUUCUGGAUAACCGCAUGAAAGUGUGGCUAAUACGGGAUAUUCUGGGUCUGUCGCAUGAUGGGUCUGGGAAAGAUAUUGUUUCGGUGGGGGAUGGGCUCGCGGCCUAUCAGCUUGUUGGUGGGGUGAUGGCCUACCAAGGCGGUGACGGGUAGCCGGCCUGAGAGGGUGGACGGUCACACUGGGACUGAGACACGGACCAGACUCCUACGGGAGGCAGCAGUGGGGAAUAUUGCACAAUGGGCGGAAGCCUGAUGCAGCGACGCCGCGUGAGGGAUGGAGGCCUGCGGGUUGUGAACCUCUUUCGCCAGUGAAGCAGGCCUGCCUCGUUUGUGGGUGGGUUGACGGUAGCUGGAUAAGAAGCGCCGGCUAACUACGUG